Molecule: ribosomal RNA, 572 nt
Filed under: uncultured bacterium
Lineage: Bacteria
Description: partial 16S ribosomal RNA
Rfam family: Bacterial small subunit ribosomal RNA
Source: RNAcentral
UGGGGAAUUUUGGACAAUGGGCGAAAGCCUGAUCCAGCAAUGCCGCGUGUGUGAAGAAGGCCUUCGGGUUGUAAAGCACUUUUGUCCGGAAAGAAAUCCUUGGCUCUAAUACAGUCGGGGGAUGACGGUACCGGAAGAAUAAGCACCGGCUAACUACGUGCCAGCAGCCGCGGUAAUACGUAGGGUGCAAGCGUUAAUCGGAAUUACUGGGCGUAAAGCAUGCGCAGGCGGUUUGCUAAGACCGAUGUGAAAUCCCCGGGCUCAACCUGGGAACUGCAUUGGUGACUGGCAGGCUAGAGUAUGGCAGAGGGGGGUAGAAUUCCACGUGUAGCAGUGAAAUGCGUAGAGAUGUGGAGGAAUACCGAUGGCGAAGGCAGCCCCCUGGGCCAAUACUGACGCUCAUGCACGAAAGCGUGGGGGAGCAAACAGGAUUCAGAUACCCUGGUAGUCCACGCCCUAAACGAUGUCAACUAGUUGUUGGGGAUUCAUUUCCUUAGUAACGUAGCUAACGCGUGAAGUUGACCGCCUGGGGAGUACGGUCGCAAGAUUAAAACUCAAAUGAAUUGACGGGG